RNAcentral lists this ribosomal RNA (447 nucleotides) under uncultured bacterium. RNAcentral's name for it is "bacterial SSU rRNA". It matches the Rfam family "Bacterial small subunit ribosomal RNA", at positions 957 to 1393 of the family's 1533-position model. The record is from RNAcentral.
UAACGCGAAGAACCUUACCUAGGCUUGACAUACACCGGAAACUGGCAGAGAUGUCAGCCCCCUUGUGGUCGGUGUACAGGUGGUGCAUGGCUGUCGUCAGCUCGUGUCGUGAGAUGUUGGGUUAAGUCCCGCAACGAGCGCAACCCUUGUUCUGUGUUGCCAGCACGCUCUCUUCGGAGGGUGGUGGGGACUCACAGGAGACUGCCGGGGUCAACUCGGAGGAAGGUGGGGACGACGUCAAGUCAUCAUGCCCCUUAUGUCUUGGGCUGCACACGUGCUACAAUGGCCGGUACAAUGAGCUGCGAUGCCGUGAGGCGGAGCGAAUCCCAAAAAGCCGGUCUCAGUUCGGAUUGGGGUCUGCAACUCGACCCCAUGAAGUCGGAGUUGCUAGUAAUCGCAGAUCAGCAUUGCUGCGGUGAAUACGUUCCCGGGUCUUGUACACACCGA